CGAACGCUGGCGGCGUGCUUAACACAUGCAAGUCGAACGGAAAGGCCCUGCUUUUGUGGGGUGCUCGAGUGGCGAACGGGUGAGUAACACGUGAGUAACCUGCCCUUGACUUUGGGAUAACUUCAGGAAACUGGGGCUAAUACCGGAUAGGAGCUCCUGCUGCAUGGUGGGGGUUGGAAAGUUUCGGCGGUUGGGGAUGGACUCGCGGCUUAUCAGCUUGUUGGUGGGGUAGUGGCUUACCAAGGCUUUGACGGGUAGCCGGCCUGAGAGGGUGACCGGCCACCUUGGGACUGAGGUGCGGCCCAGGCGGCUACGGGAGGCAGCAGUGGGGAAUAUUGCACCAUGGGCGGAAGCCGGGUGCAGCAGGGCCGCGUGCGGGAUGACGGCCUUCGGGUUGUAGACCGCUUUCGCCUGUGACGAAGCGUGAGUGACGGUAAUGGGUAAAGAAGCACCGGCUAACUACGUG
RNAcentral lists this ribosomal RNA (466 nucleotides) under uncultured bacterium. Its description in RNAcentral is "partial 16S ribosomal RNA". It matches the Rfam family "Bacterial small subunit ribosomal RNA", at positions 30 to 507 of the family's 1533-position model. The record is from RNAcentral.